GACGAACGCUGGCGGCGUGCUUAACACAUGCGAGUCGAACGAUGAAGCCUAGCUUGCUAGGUGGAUUAGUGGCGAACGGGUGAGUAAUACGUGAGUAACCUACCUUUAACUCUGGGAUAAGCCUGGGAAACUGGGUCUAAUACCGGAUACGACCAAUCUCCGCAUGGGGUGUUGGUGGAAAGCGUUAUGUAGUGGUUAUAGAUGGGCUCACGGCCUAUCAGCUUGUUGGUGAGGUAACGGCUCACCAAGGCGACGACGGGUAGCCGGCCUGAGAGGGUGACCGGCCACACUGGGACUGAGACACGGCCCAGACUCCUACGGGAGGCAGCAGUGGGGAAUAUUGCACAAUGGGCGCAAGCCUGAUGCAGCGACGCCGCGUGAGGGAUGACGGCCUUCGGGUUGUAAACCUCUGUUAGCAGGGAAGAAGAGAGAUUGACGGUACCUGCAGAGAAAGCGCCGGCUAACUACGUGCCAGCAGCCGCGGUAAUACGUAGGGCGCGAGCGUUGUCCGGAAUUAUUGGGCGUAAAGAGCUUGUAGGCGGUUUGUCGCGUCUGCUGUGAAGGCCGGAGCUUAACUCCGUGUAUUGCAGUGGGUACGGGCAGACUAGAGUGCAGUAGGGGAGACUGGAAUUCCUGGUGUAGCGGUGGAAUGCGCAGAUAUCAGGAGGAACACCGAUGGCGAAGGCAGGUCUCUGGGCUGUAACUGACGCUGAGAAGCGAAAGCAUGGGGAGCGAACAGGAUUAGAUACCCUGGUAGUCCAUGCCGUAAACGUUGGGCACUAGGUGUGGGGAACAUUCCACGUUUUCCGCGCCGUAGCUAACGCAUUAAGUGCCCCGCCUGGGGAGUACGGCCGCAAGGCUAAAACUCAAAGAAAUUGACGGGGGCCCGCACAAGCGGCGGAGCAUGCGGAUUAAUUCGAUGCAACGCGAAGAACCUUACCAAGGCUUGACAUAUACUGGAUCGCAUCAGAGAUGGUGUUUCCCUUCGGGGCUGGUAUACAGGUGGUGCAUGGUUGUCGUCAGCUCGUGUCGUGAGAUGUUGGGUUAAGUCCCGCAACGAGCGCAACCCUCGUUCUAUGUUGCCAGCACGUUAUGGUGGGGACUCAUAGGAGACUGCCGGGGUCAACUCGGAGGAAGGUGGGGAUGACGUCAAAUCAUCAUGCCCCUUAUGUCUUGGGCUUCACGCAUGCUACAAUGGCCGGUACAGAGGGUUGCGAUACUGUGAGGUGGAGCUAAUCCCUAAAAGCCGGUCUCAGUUCGGAUUGGGGUCUGCAACUCGACCCCAUGAAGUCGGAGUCGCUAGUAAUCGCAGAUCAGCAACGCUGCGGUGAAUACGUUCCCGGGCCU
This 1347-nucleotide ribosomal RNA is filed under the name uncultured bacterium. RNAcentral's name for it is "bacterial SSU rRNA". It matches the Rfam family "Bacterial small subunit ribosomal RNA", at positions 28 to 1381 of the family's 1533-position model. The record is from RNAcentral.